RNAcentral lists this ribosomal RNA (461 nucleotides) under uncultured bacterium. RNAcentral's name for it is "partial 16S ribosomal RNA". It matches the Rfam family "Bacterial small subunit ribosomal RNA", at positions 338 to 795 of the family's 1533-position model. The record is from RNAcentral.
CCUACGGGAGGCAGCAGUGAGGAAUAUUGGUCAAUGGACGAAAGUCUGAACCAGCCAAGUAGCGUGAAGGAUGACUGCCUUAGGGGGUGUAACCUCUUUUUACAAAGGAAAAUAAUGACGCACGUGGUCCUCUUUGCAUGUACGUUAUGAAUAAGGAUCGGCUAACUCCGUGCCAGCCGCGCCGGUAAGAUGGGGGAUGCAAGCGUUAUCUGGAUUUUUUGGGUUUAAAGGGGGCGUAGCCUGUGAGGUAAGUCAGCGGUGAAAUGCCCCCGCCCAACGGGGUGAAGUGCCUUUGAUACUGCCUUGCUGGAAUGCGGAUGCCGUGAGAGGAAUGUGUGGUGUAGCGGUGAAAUGCAUAGAUAUCACACAGAACACCGAUUGCGAAGGCAUCUCACGAAUCCGCGAUUGACGCUGAUGCACGAAAGCGUGGGUAUCAAACAGGAUUAGAUACCCUAGUAGUC